GUCCUCAGUUGAUUAUAGUCUCAAACAGUUUUCCAAUUUUUAUAUAUUUCAUUUUUAUUUACAUUUGAAUUUUUAUGCGUAAAUCUUAGCAUUUCUUCCAUCAUUUUUCUCUUUGCAUUUAAUCUUUUUUUUUAAUAUUAAAAAAACGUUGUCGUAGUACACAUCAGGGGUUACAUUGUAUAAUUUCCAGCAAAACUAACAGGGGAGGGACUACAUCAGAAAAAACAAUCUUCAUUGAGUGGCAAUAACUCAUAUAUUGAAGCAUACAAUGACGGCUCCCUCGUCUAGGUGACAACAUUUGCUGUUUGAAGUUUAUUUAUAU
This 322-nucleotide long non-coding RNA is filed under the name Mytilus galloprovincialis (Mediterranean mussel). Lineage: Eukaryota; Metazoa; Mollusca; Bivalvia; Mytilida; Mytilidae. The record is from RNAcentral.